Molecule: ribosomal RNA, 497 nt
Filed under: uncultured bacterium
Lineage: Bacteria
Description: bacterial SSU rRNA
Rfam family: Bacterial small subunit ribosomal RNA
Source: RNAcentral
GAUGAACGCUAGCUACAGGCUUAACACAUGCAAGUCGAGGGGCAGCAUGGUCUUAGCUUGCUAAGGCCGAUGGCGACCGGCGCACGGGUGAGUAACACGUAUCCAACCUGCCGUCUACUCUUGGACAGCCUUCUGAAAGGAAGAUUAAUACAAGAUGGCAUCAUGAGUCCGCAUGUUCACAUGAUUAAAGGUAUUCCGGUAGACGAUGGGGAUGCGUUCCAUUAGAUAGUAGGCGGGGUAACGGCCCACCUAGUCUUCGAUGGAUAGGGGUUCUGAGAGGAAGGUCCCCCACAUUGGAACUGAGACACGGUCCAAACUCCUACGGGAGGCAGCAGUGAGGAAUAUUGGUCAAUGGGCGAGAGCCUGAACCAGCCAAAGUAGCGUGAAGGAUGACUGCCCUAUGGGGUUGUAAAACUUCUUUAUACGGGAAUAAAGUUAGCCACGUGUGGUUUUUUGUAUGUACCGUAUGAAUAAGGAUCGGCUAACUCCGUGCCAGC